GACGAACGCUGGCGGCGUGCUUAACACAUGCAAGUCGAACGAUGACGACCGAGCUUGCUCGGUCUGAUUAGUGGCGAACGGGUGAGUAACACGUGAGCAACCUGCCCUUCACUCUGGGAUAACCUCGGGAAAUCGGGGCUAAUACCGGAUAUGAGCUCCUGUCGCAUGGCGGGUGUUGGAAAGUUUUUCGGUGAAGGAUGGGCUCGCGGCCUAUCAGUUUGUUGGUGAGGUAGUGGCUCACCAAGGCUAUGACGGGUAGCCGGCCUGAGAGGGCGACCGGCCACACUGGGACUGAGACACGGCCCAGACUCCUACGGGAGGCAGCAGUGGGGAAUAUUGCACAAUGGGCGAAAGCCUGAUGCAGCGACGCCGCGUGAGGGAUGACGGCCUUCGGGUUGUAAACCUCUUUCAGCAGGGAAGAAGCGAAAGUGACGGUACCUGCAGAAGAAGCGCCGGCUAACUACGUG
RNAcentral lists this ribosomal RNA (467 nucleotides) under uncultured bacterium. RNAcentral's name for it is "partial 16S ribosomal RNA". It matches the Rfam family "Bacterial small subunit ribosomal RNA", at positions 28 to 507 of the family's 1533-position model. The record is from RNAcentral.